CUUCCGUAGGUGAACCUGCGGAAGGAUCAUUACCGAGUGAGGGCCCUCUGGGUCCAACCUCCCACCCGUGUCUAUCGUACCUUGUUGCUUCGGCGGGCCCGCCGUUUCGACGGCCGCCGGGGAGGCCUUGCGCCCCCGGGCCCGCGCCCGCCGAAGACCCCAACAUGAACGCUGUUCUGAAAGUAUGCAGUCUGAGUUGAUUAUCGUAAUCAGUUAAAACUUUCAACAACGGAUCUCUUGGUUCCGGCAUCGAUGAAGAACGCAGCGAAAUGCGAUAAGUAAUGUGAAUUGCAGAAUUCAGUGAAUCAUCGAGUCUUUGAACGCACAUUGCGCCCCCUGGUAUUCCGGGGGGCAUGCCUGUCCGAGCGUCAUUGCUGCCCUCAAGCACGGCUUGUGUGUUGGGCCCCCGUCCCCCUCUCCCGGGGGACGGGCCCGAAAGGCAGCGGCGGCACCGCGUCCGGUCCUCGAGCGUAUGGGGCUUUGUCACCUGCUCUGUAGGCCCGGCCGGCGCCAGCCGACACCCAACUUUAUUUUUCUAAGGUUGACCUCGGAUCA
This 555-nucleotide ribosomal RNA is filed under the name Aspergillus fumigatus. Its description in RNAcentral is "eukaryotic LSU rRNA". The stretch from base 218 to 371 matches the Rfam family "5.8S ribosomal RNA". Lineage: Eukaryota; Fungi; Ascomycota; Eurotiomycetes; Eurotiales; Aspergillaceae. The record is from RNAcentral.